Molecule: ribosomal RNA, 379 nt
Filed under: uncultured eukaryote
Lineage: Eukaryota
Description: partial 18S ribosomal RNA
Rfam family: Eukaryotic small subunit ribosomal RNA
Source: RNAcentral
CAAUAGCGUAUAUUAAAGUUGUUGCAGUUAAAAGCUCGUAGUUGGAUUUGUGGCGUACGGUGUGUUCCGGGCACUUGUUGUCUGAGUAACCUGCUGUUGCCAUCCUUGGGUGGAACCUGUGUGGCAUUAGGUUGUCGUGCAGGGGAUGCCCAUCAUUUACUGUGAAAAAAUUAGAGUGUUCAAAGCAGGCUUAUGCCGUUGAAUAUAUUAGCAUGGAAUAAUGAGAUAGGACUUUUUUGCUAUUUUGUUGGUUUGCGCAAAGAGGUAAUGAUUAAUAGGGACAGUUGGGGGUAUUCGUAUUCCAUUGUCAGAGGUGAAAUUCUUGGAUUUUUGGAAGACGAACUACUGCGAAAGCAUUUACCAAGGAUGUUUUCAUUAA